AACAUCCUGCUAAGUCUUCUCUCCUCUGAUCAAACCCAGCGCACAAAUCCUACUUUCAGAUAUGCAUCUGUGGCCACCUGUAAUCAUUUGUACUGUUAUAUUGGGCUUCUCCAAGGCUGACAAAGUCUUACAGAACCCAUUUAUAUCAGUUCAGAAUGGGGAAAAGGUCACUUUUAAUUGUACGUAUGAAACAACAGAGAGCAACCCAUACCUGCACUGGUAUAUCCAAAGGCCGGGAGUGAGACCUCACUUUAUCCUACUCAGGCAUCAGUUCAGCAAGGAAGAGGAUGAACCUGGGGGAAAGUAUUCAUCAAAACUAAACAAGGAGAGCAAAUACACUGAGCUGAGGAUCUCUGGUGUCAGUGUGUCUGACUCUGGGCUGUAUUAUUGUGCUCUGCGUCCCACAGUGUCUCUCUCUGCUGCCUCCUCUGUACAAGAAGCUCUGACUCUGUCCAUGGUGCUUCUGAAUUGCAGUAUCUCUCUCUUCCUCUGCACCAAACACUGUUCAACAAACUCUUCGAGGUGCUGCCGACAACUGUAAAUGUCUGU
Non-coding RNA from Xenopus laevis (African clawed frog), 549 nucleotides. Lineage: Eukaryota; Metazoa; Chordata; Amphibia; Anura; Pipidae. The record is from the annotation of a RefSeq genome assembly.